Molecule: ribosomal RNA, 1246 nt
Filed under: 'Vaccinium corymbosum' phytoplasma
Lineage: Bacteria; Bacillati; Mycoplasmatota; Mollicutes; Acholeplasmatales; Acholeplasmataceae
Description: bacterial SSU rRNA
Rfam family: Bacterial small subunit ribosomal RNA
Source: RNAcentral
GAAAACGACUGCUAAGACUGGAUAGGAGACAAGAAGGCAUCUUCUUGUUUUUAAAAGACCUAGCAAUAGGUAUGCUUAGGGAGGAGCUUGCGUCACAUUAGUUAGUUGGUGGGGUAAAGGCCUACCAAGACUAUGAUGUGUAGCCGGGCUGAGAGGUUGAACGGCCACAUUGGGACUGAGACACGGCCCAAACUCCUACGGGAGGCAGCAGUAGGGAAUUUUCGGCAAUGGAGGAAACUCUGACCGAGCAACGCCGCGUGAACGAUGAAGUAUUUCGGUACGUAAAGUUCUUUUAUUAGGGAAGAAUAAAUGAUGGAAAAAUCAUUCUGACGGUACCUAAUGAAUAAGCCCCGGCUAACUAUGUGCCAGCAGCCGCGGUAAUACAUAGGGGGCAAGCGUUAUCCGGAAUUAUUGGGCGUAAAGGGUGCGUAGGCGGUUAAAUAAGUUUAUGGUCUAAGUGCAAUGCUCAACAUUGUGAUGCUAUAAAAACUGUUUAGCUAGAGUAAGAUAGAGGCAAGUGGAAUUCCAUGUGUAGUGGUAAAAUGCGUAAAUAUAUGGAGGAACACCAGUAGCGAAGGCGGCUUGCUGGGUCUUUACUGACGCUGAGGCACGAAAGCGUGGGGAGCAAACAGGAUUAGAUACCCUGGUAGUCCACGCCGUAAACGAUGAGUACUAAACGUUGGGUAAAACCAGUGUUGAAGUUAACACAUUAAGUACUCCGCCUGAGUAGUACGUACGCAAGUAUGAAGCUUAAAGGAAUUGACGGGACUCCGCACAAGCGGUGGAUCAUGUUGUUUAAUUCGAAGGUACCCGAAAAACCUCACCAGGUCUUGACAUGCUUCUGCAAAACUGUAGAAACACAGUGGAGGUUAUCAGUUGCACAGGUGGUGCAUGGUUGUCGUCAGCUCGUGUCGUGAGAUGUUGGGUUAAGUCCCGCAACGAGCGCAACCCUUAUUGUUAGUUACCAGCACGUAAUGGUGGGGACUUUAGCAAGACUGCCAGUGAUAAAUUGGAGGAAGGUGGGGACGACGUCAAAUCAUCAUGCCCCUUAUGACCUGGGCUACAAACGUGAUACAAUGGCUGUUACAAAGGGUAGCUAAAACGCAAGUUUUUGGCGAAUCUCAAAAAAACAGUCUCAGUUCGGAUUGAAGUCUGCAACUCGACUUCAUGAAGUUGGAAUCGCUAGUAAUCGCGAAUCAGCAUGUCGCGGUGAAUACGUUCUCGGGGUUUGUACACACCGCCCGUC